Molecule: long non-coding RNA, 43291 nt
Filed under: Daucus carota (carrot)
Lineage: Eukaryota; Viridiplantae; Streptophyta; Magnoliopsida; Apiales; Apiaceae
Description: long non-coding RNA (DCAR_LNC000052)
Source: RNAcentral
ACAAUUUAAAAAACCUUUCAUUUUCUUGAUAUCGGUUAAAACCAACAUUGCCGUGAAUAAAAAUACUAAAUGAUAAAUAUUUGGUAUAGUUGAUACAUUAAUAUACGUGCAGAAAUGAAUGUAUAUACAAAUUUCACUAGAAGAUCAUAUCCAUAGUGGCAUCACUCGUUAGCCUUAUAGAUAUCAAUACAAGGACUCACACGUAUUUGAAAAAACAACUUGUAUCUAAGUUGUACUUCUGAGCAGCUUUGGUUGGGCUGAUUUGCCAAGUUACCUUUCGAAACUUCUUGAUUCCGAAGUUAUAUUUUCCUUGGGCAUUCCAUAACAGCAACAUUCCAAAGACUCGAAGACAGAAAAAAUUGCAGACCUUGCAACUGGGAAUCACUGCCUUUAUUAUCUCCGCUGCUGUUAUCGGCCUCUUGAAUUCUUUUUACAGUAUGUCUUACAGUAUUUUUGGGCAACUAAUCAUCGGCAAGAACAAUUUGUGCUCGACAAACACUGAUUUACUGAGAUAUGAUGGUAUCCCUGACACCUGAGAGUUCAAUAUUUAGGAAGUCGGGUAUCAGUUCGAUAAUUAAUACCUUACUAUAGAAUGCGGAACAGACAGUCUUAAUGAUCUAUAAAGACUUAUACCACACAAAAUUGACAGAGCAAAACAUGACCAUUUACAUUACAGUAUGCAGAGUAAAAUAAUCAAAUUUGUGAAAGAAACAAGGUAGUACGAACUAUGAAGCAAUAAUCCAAUUAUUAUGCAAAGAAACCCAUACAUAAUCUUCUAGUGGAAGACUAUCAACUUAACUGAUACAAAAUCUCAUUCUCAAAAGCCGCUUUAUCCGAAAACCAAUGCAAAAUAUUAAUUCACUCAGAAUCUUCCUGUUACAGGACUGAUUAGACAAGAGUACAGAAAUAUGCCUGUGAGAUAGAGGAAGAGAAAGGAAGGGAGGGAUAGGCUUACUCAUUUAGCUUACGAACAUCAACGGCUUGGUAAUGCAUAUGAGCCAUCUGGAGUAGCCAUUAACAUAGAUAUUGGCUACCGGUUGGAGGUUUCACCUUUUCAACACCUUAACUCCAUUUGUAGGAUAAUGGUGAAUAAAAUGUCCUAAGCAUAUUAACAUCCAACAUUAGAGCGGAAACAAGCAUAAUAGAGCACAGACAAGCAUAAUCGCAUAUCAAUAUUACAAACAUGUAAUCUGUUUUUCAUUUUCAUUGCUACAUCAAUUAAAGAUCACCUCCCAUCCUUCAAAUGCAUUAUUAAGCAACAAUAUGGUAAAACACCAAAGAGAUUUAAUCCAACCAACCUCAUUAGUUUGUGCAUUGCCGACAACAAAGUCAAAGUCGGUCCUAUUGCCCAAAUGAAACUACAAUAUUCACAAUAACAAAUAUUUAAGUCGAAAUUUACCAAAUACCAGAAUAAAAAAAAAUAAUUGGGGAUUUGUUACGGAUUGUGUCAUAUGCAAAGAACCAAGCUGAUUACAAAUUGUUGUUAUCGGCUCGGAAAGUUCAAGCCUCCAGAUACCAAAACCUAUAUUAUUAGAAUGUUAGUCGGCCAUAGAUCAUUUGUUUGCUCCAAGAAGGAAUGUUCAACAAGAUACAAUGCAGUGUUUGUUAGCUUUUCAUUAUUCAACAAGAUACAAUGGUUGUUAGCUUUACAUGUUCCCUGAUCUUUUAUUUACCUAUCCUGAAUCUACAUACUCCAUAAGCAUUUUUCGUAAGUUGUGAAUUAGGCUAAUGACAUUAAAAUAGUCACAGUAUAGAGUAGAAAUUGUGUGUUUUAGUAUAUGGUAUCCAAUCAACAAGCUUCCUAAAUUCGUGGAGAACUAGUGAGCAUAAAUUUCUUGUUCUUAUUCAAUAUCCUAACUAACUAAUUGUUACCGGUAAAAUAUGAACAGACCUGGAUUUUCUUUACUCAGAUGUUUUGGUGAAUUGAAUAAACUAGUUGAUUUUUAAUGGUUUCUAUAUCUCAUUGGUUCAUGUUAGUUUUUUAAUAUGAGUGUAUGUGUGUUUAUUUUGAUUAAGAUCUUUACAUUUGUUUCUCUAUUUGUAUAUUAAUAAAUAUGUACGUUUGUAUCUCUUCCCCUCUCUGUUCACUUCAUCCCUUUCAUCGUCCAAUCCCCUUUUGUCCAAAUCGAUGCCCUGGAAUUAAAACUUUUUAUAAUCAAGAGUUCUCCGGCACAAACCACAACACAUCAUCGAGGGGGAAGAAAUCUCAAGCAAAAUACAUCAUCGAGUGGGAAAAAUCCAGCUUAAAGCGCAAAUGACUAAUUUUGACCGACUCAAAGUGCUCAAGAUUGUCAUGGCUCAGAUCUACAGAAAUACAUUAGAAAAACAGGUGUGAUCUUUUCAAAACAUAAAAUUAUAUGAUUAUAAUUAUGUGAUUGUUUAUUGUUUUUCAUAUUUCAUGAUUAUGUAUAAUUGGGUUGUUUCGUAUCCUAUUCCGUCUUUUUUAUCUAUUUUGUCCGAAUUUGAGUCCGAAUUUGAGCAUAUUGGAUAUGUGUUAUUAAUCUUAUAUUAUAUAAUCAGUUACAUUUUAUGUGUUCUGUUUCUUCAUGUUCACGUUCGUCUCUUAGUUUUCACUAGUGCUCUUGAUGAUUGUGUGCGAUUCUUGGAUGGUGGCGGUGGAAGUGGUGUAGUGGUGACUUAAUUAGUGCGCGUUGUAAUAUUAGAUUAGAUUAUUCUGAUUGACUAUUUUUAUUGCGUGAUAUUAGUUUUAGCUUUGUAAUUUUGGAUAUGGUUAGGUUUUAAUGGUAGUAAUUGUAGAAUUUAAUUUUGGUUAUUUUUGAAUGACUAGUUGACUCUUUUAAAUUUGUUCAUUUUUGGAUUUUGACCUUUCUUUAAUUUGAAUUGUUGUGUUUUAUUAAAAGAUUAAUUGAUAGAAUCUUUAUUGCCGAUUAUUGUACUUGAAUUCCAUUAUUCAUGGGGAUCAUAAAAGAUGGCUUUAUUGUGCAUUAAUGAGGUAUUACUGCACCAUUAAUGGUUUAUUGGUGUAUACCAAAUUUAUGUUGUGAUUAGCUAAAAUCGUGAUAAAUUUGUUUAUCAAGAUUUUGUUUUGUAUUUGAUUAGAUAUAUCCUAACUAUGCUUUCAGAUUUUAAUUAUAUAUAUUUUCUUAUCUAUAUUUUAAAUAUUUAUUGACAUAAUUAUCAGUUAUUUUUUGAUAGGAUUUAUAUUUUAUUAUGUAUAUAACCAAAGAGAUCUCAUUAUCUCUUUGGUGUAGAUUUUUUAAUGAUUUGUUUUACAUAAACUUUUGUUUUUACUUUCCUUAUUCUUUAAAAGUUAUAUUAUAUUCAUAUUUUUAUUUAUGAGUUUGCUAACUCUUUUUCUACUUUUUAGAUAGUUUUAUUAUUUUUGUUGUAUGUAUGAACUUAUUAUGUUUUUAUUGUAUUUUAUUUUUUCAGGGUACGCGAGCGGAAGAUAGAAUGGCGGGACCUCUUAUGGUGUUUUCUUAUCGAACAUUAAAGUUUUAUUGUCUAAGUGUCUUCGGUCAUCUCUGCAUGUCCGAGGGUUAGAUGGUAAACUUUCUUGAACGAAAAGAACUCCUUGCGACGGAUUUUGUAUUCUGAUACAAUUCGUUAUACGAGAAAUUAUUUUGUGACAAAAAAAAAAUGUACAUUUGUAUCUCUAGUGUGUUGCCACAAGAUACAGCAUUUAUUACUGCUGCCUGUACAAAAUCCAUGCAGUCUUGACAAAAGCUAGUUAUUUGCUAAUCAGACUUAUAAAGAUUUUUAAAGAUGCAAUUGAACAAUAUGUAACCAGGUGAUUUGUUGCCACUCCGAUCAGUUGAUUUCAUGUCAUUGUAAAUAAUUUGAUUGCAGCGCUUGGCAGACCUUAAAAACAGAUAUAUCUUCCCAUUCAUCAAACUUCAACUAUAGGGGUAACAAGUGAAGUUACGAUCACAAUCACGAUACACCACAAAAGAGAAAUCAAGAUGGGGCGUUGUAAUUGGAUCAGCGCUUUGUCUUGCUCGCGCAGAUUGUCGUACUCGUGCUUUGGCAUAAAGGCUUGCUGGAGAGCGUUGCUGAAUAACGCCAUGGAUGUGUGUUGUUUGAUUUGGGGAUUAGGGUUCGGAGAUGACAAGUUAAUUGACUGUCAUGUCCUCCCUCCGUCCCAAUGAAUUGUAUACAGUUUCCUUUUUGGGACGUCCCACCAAUUGUAUACAUUCCAAAAGUAGUAAACUUUUAUAAUAUAAAACAUCAUUACACCAACUACUUUCUUCCACUGUCUUCAUUCUAUAAUAAUAUAAACACUAUUACACCCACUACUUUUCUUCACUAUCUCAAAUCUAUAAUUAAAUAUAAAUGGGUCCUAUCACUAUACUCACUUUUCACAUAAUUUUACUCAUUUUUUACCUUUUUUCCUGAUCUCCGUGUCCCUGGGACGGAGGGAGUACUUAGAACAAGUCAUGUGGUUGAUGUACCCAGUGCAUGCAUAAAUUAAUCUGAAACCGAUUUAGUCCGGUCAUAAAUAAAUCUGAAACCGACUUAAUCACGCGCAUAAAUUAAUCGGGAAUAAUAUAAAGGUCCAAAACGAAUAAUACUAAUAUUGUUUAUUAUUCUCUAAAUUUUAUUUAAUUUAUUAUUUUUGAGAUAUAAUUUUGUAUGUAUUUUUAAUUUUUAUAAAAUAUAAUUUCAUAAAUAAUUUGAUGGAAAAAUUUCUAGAUAUAAUUAAAAUUUUAAUUUCAACUAAUUUCAACUAAAAUAGGAAAAUGACAAAAUGAGUCAUGAAAUUAUAUUUUAUAAAAAUUUAAAAUAUAAAUAAGGAAAUUCUUACAACAUUAUAAACAUAUAUAUAUAUAUAUANNNNNNNNNNNNNNNNNNNNNNNNNNNNNNNNNNNNNNNNNNNNNNNNNNNNNNNNNNNNNNNNNNNNNNNNNNNNNNNNNNNNNNNNNNNNNNNNNNNNNNNNNNNNNNNNNNNNNNNNNNNNNNNNNNNNNNNNNNNNNNNNNNNNNNNNNNNNNNNNNNNNNNNNNNNNNNNNNNNNNNNNNNNNNNNNNNNNNUUGUUUAAACUCUAAUCAAUUUGAUUUUGUUUGUUUAAACUCUAAUCAAUUUGUUUCGUGACAAAUUCAUAUGUCGCAUUCUAGCUUUCUCAUCGGUAUUACAUUCAAUCAUACAGAUUAUUACAAACAUCGUUAAGAUAUUCUAUAUUAUGAAUUAUAUAUUUUGAACAAGCAUCGUUAAGAUUUUCAUCUAUAUUUUUUAUUUUCUUAAUAUAUUUAACUAAUCAUCACUUGCUUAUAUUCAUCUAACAAUAAAAUGUUUUAUGUUCUUCCAUCACUAAGAUCACAAAAACAUCCAACUUCGGCACCUAAACAAAUGUAAUAUAACCCGGAAGAAAAUUGGUAAAUUAUGAACCACUGUUCCAAAAUGCAGAAUCCUGUUUUAACACACACACAAGCUUAUUAUAUACAUUAUACAGGUCAAUAAAUAAACAGAAAAAUACUAGAAAUACUUCAAGUAACUUAACGGUUACUUGAACAUCAUCUAUUUUAAGUCUUUUGAGCCCUGAUCUUACAUAGGAAUAAGAAUAAGACAAUAUGGUUACUAGCAAAUUAGCGGGCCUUAGAAAAUUGUUUUUCAUCAUUUUGGAGCAUCAUCUUCAUUGUUUACUGCAAAUCAUCUUCCUUGUUUACUGCAAAGAAGAAUGUGAAAAUCAAUGACUUUCAUACUAGAAAAUUUAAUAAAUUUCAAGCACAUUAUAACUUAACUAUAAGCAUACCUUCACCAUUUAUGAGCCAUCCGUCUCCCGGAUAUUAUUAAACAAAACAAUCUUUACGUGAAUAAGAUUGUAUUGCGUUUGCUUUAUGGCAGGGCGGCUAGGAGCUCAGCACAAAAUUCUAGCCACCUACAUAGAGCUCGCUGAGGGAAGAUGGAUUGUGCUUUGGAACAAGGUCGGAAAUUCCUAGAAGUGGUGCCAGCCUCUAGGUUCUUUUACCUCAUCAGCUGCAUAAACACAAACACUGGACACAACACUUAGUGCAUUGCCUACAAUAUCCAAAGAUAUGGACAACAUCCAUCAAAUCAACUUACAACACAUUCUUCACACCUCAAUCAUAUAUCAUAGAACCAUCAACUAUCCGAUCAUUCUCACGAUUGCACUACCAACACAAAAACAAGUCUGAAACGACUUCAAGCAAUACACAAACCCUUAAUUUAUACCCACACAAGCAUUCACAAAUACUAUCUCAAACAUCAAAUUUCUUUAAAACAUGCUUUUCAUAAACCACACUAAUUACCGUAAAUCAACUAGACAACUCAAUUUUGUAUAACCACUACACACAUUAAUGCAUACACACACACACACACAUUGAACAAGUCACAUUUCAUAAUCCACAUAUUCAUAAAUCAACUAGACAACUUUAUUUUGCAUAACCACUAGACACACAAACACUCACACACACAUGAAACAAGUCACAUUUCAUAAUCCACAAACUCGUAAAUCAACUAGACAACUCAAUAUUGCAUAACUACUAGACACACGAACACUCACACACACAUAAAACAAGUCACAUUUCAUAAUCCACAUAUCCAUACUCGAAAACCCUCACCAGCAACUAAAUACGCAACUGAAACCAAAAACACCAAAACCGACGGCAUAAACACCACCAUCCAAUAAUAAUCCACCGUCUGCUGAUCCGUCAAAUAAAACGCCCCAGGAAACACAUCCUCCCCGCCGCCACCGCCACCAGAGCUCACAUUUAUCGACAACGGCUGAAUCCUCAAAUCCCGGCAAAACACGCGUUUCCCGUCCUCCGCCGGGAACACAAUCUUCACGCUAAUCGAGGUGGACACAACGAUCACAAUCACGAUACACAACAAGAGGGAAAUCAAGACGGGGCGUUGUAAUUGGAUCAUCGCUUUGUCUUCUUCGCGCAGAUUGUCGUACUCGUGCUUCGGCAUGAAGGCUUGCCGGAGAGCGUUGCUGAGUAACGCCAUGGAUGUGUGUAGUUUGAUUUGGGGAUUAGGGUUUGGAGAUGACAAGUUAAUUGACUGUCAUGUACUAGAACAAGUCAUGUGGUUGAUGUACCAGGCAUAAAUUAAUCCGAAACCGAUUUAAUCCGGUCAUAAAUUAAUCUGAAACCGACUUCAUACGCAUAAAUUAAUUGGGAAUAAUAAAAAAAUUCAAAACAAAUAAUAUUGAUAUUAUUUAUUAUUCUCUAGAUUUUAUUUUACUUGUUAUUUUUUGAGAGAUGGUUCCGUAUGUUUUUUUAAAUUUUUAUAAAAUAUAAUUUUAUAAAUGAUUUGAUGAAAAAUUUCUAGAUAAAAUUAAAAAUUCAAUUUCAACUAAAACAGGAAAAUUACAAAAUGAGUCAUGAAAUUAUAUUUUAUGAAAAAUUAAAUUAUUAAUAAGAGAAUUCUUACAAAAUUAUAAAGAGAUUUGUAUAUAUAGUUAUUGACAUAAAGAGAUUUGUAUAUAUAUUUAUUGACAUUGAUUUUAGACGCGAGAAGGGAAAUUGUGUUUGUUUAAACUCUAACCAAUUUGUUUCAUAACAAAUUUAUAUGUCAGCAUUCUAACUUUCUCAUCGGUAUUACACUUAAUCAUACAGAUGAUUACAAACAUCUUUAAGAUAUUAUAUCUUAUAAUUUCUUUAAAUUGUCCUCCGUGAGCUGAGAAAAAUGUUCGUUCAUCUAUAUUUUAAUUUUUAAUUUUCUAUUUUCUUAAAAUUAUUAUAUUUAACUAAUCAUCGUUUGCUUGUACAUUCAUCAAUAAUAAAAUGUUUAAUGUUCUUCCAUCAAUAACAUCACAAAAUGGGCACCUAAACAAAUGCUACAUAUAAACCAAAAAAAUUUGUAAAUUAUGAAUAACUGUUCCAAAGUGCAUAAUCCUAUUUUAACAGGUCAAUAAAUGUCAAUAAAUAAACAGACAAAUACUAAAACUACUUCAAGUAACUUGAUGGUUUCUUGAACAUCAUCUAUUUUAAGUAUUUUGAGCCCUGAUCUUACAUAGGAAUAAGAAUAAGACAAUAUGGUUACUCCAAUCUACACUGCUAGAUUUAAACUUGAUUCUUUUAAAUUCAGAAGUUCCACGAUGUGCUGCGUUUGUUUUAUCUUCAACUAAAUAGAUAAGUAGGCAGCUUCUUCAUAAUAGUAGAUAACAAGCAGAUUAGAGGAUUAGCGGGCCUUAGAUAAUUGUUUUUCAUCUUUUUGGAGCAUCAUCUUCAUUGUUUUGUUUACUGCAAAUCAUCUUCUUUGUUUACUGCAAAGAGGAAUGUGAAAAUCAGUGACAUUCAUACUAAAACAUUUAAUAGAUUUUAAGUACAUUAUAACUUAACUAUAUAAUACGCAUACCUUCAACAUUUCUGAGCCAUCCGUCUCAAACAUAUUAUUAAACAAGACAAUCUUCACGUGAAUAAGAUUGUAUUGAGUUGGUUUUAUUACAGGGUCCAUGGUAACUCAGCACACAAUUCUAGCCACCUACAUAGAGCUCGCUGAUAGACAACAAAAACCAGUAUGAUGAUUGGUUCCUAUCAACAAUCUUAUCAUGUCUCUUUUGAAAUAAAAUGAUAUAAAUGUAUGGGAAAGAGAAGCAAGAACUAAAGGUCAAACUAAUAUAUAUUGGUCACUGCAUAGUAAUAUUUAAGAGACAUCAUUUAUAUGUUACUGAAUUAAAUAGGAAGUAGAUCAACCUUCAGCAAUUGUUUGCUCAGAUGAAGAGUUCUUCUCUUAUUUCAGUUAGCCGAGUCACAAGGAAUCCCUAGCAGUGGUGGCAACCUCUGGGUUCUUUUGCGCCAAAUGAAGCAGCGGCACGACUAAACACAUAGGACAAAAUGGGCAUAUAAAGUUUGUUAGACAGAUAAAGACAGAAAUUUUACAAUAUUACAUAUAUUGUAAGAAGUUUGUACAUGCAAAACCAAUUUUAUUGUUAUACACAAAUCAAGCGAAGGGUGAAAAUACCAUAUCGAGAAAUGUUGGCAUUUCUCUUUGUCCACUUAGAGCAAGGUUUGGUAGAAUCACUUUUAUCCCAUGCCGGCCUGACAUAAUGAAUUUCAAUAUUUCACGAAUUUCAUAUUGUACGCAUUAAUUAUAAAGUUAACAGUUAUGAGAGUACUUAAAUAUUAAUUUAUGUCCUUUCAGAUAUCACAAUAAAUAAAGUUCAUACAGAAACCUAUAAACGUAAAUGCACAGCCUAUACACAUAAUUUAUCACGAAUUGCAAGAUAGCGCCGCUUGGACGGAUCCUCUCUCAGUGUUUUGAAUUAAAUAAAUGUGAUUCAACAAAAUAUAACACAAUAAUAUCAACAAUAUCUAGAUUCUUAAUGCCCAUCUCUAUUGCUAAAUUUCGAGACUGUGGUUUCCCUUUAUCAUCUCUAUCCAACAAGCAAUGAUCUCUUAUAAGUAUUUCCAUAGACAUACAGAAAUCAAAAGGUAGUUUACUUUCUAAUUAACUUCUACAUUAUACUACAAGAAAAAGGGUGCUCAAAACUAACACAAAAUAUUCCGAUACAGCUAACCAACACAAUCACGAUAAACAGACCACAAUUACCACAGGUCAUUCAAAACUAACCACAAAUCACCCUUAUCCAGUGACAAAAUAUUCCGAUACAGCCAAUCAACACAAUCAAGGGCACAAUCAAUCAUAAAAUAUUCCGAUACAGCUAACCAACACAAUAAAGCUGAUCACUAUCAGUUAUCACAUAUAUGUUCAAAACAGACCACAACUAAAUGAGAUCUAUCUAGUCAAUUAAACAUUUUCGUAACAGAAAUCAAAAUUUUACCCACUGAGGUGGCAAUAGAACAUAGUUUUGUUUUGCUGGAGCAUCUUCUUCAUUGUUUACUGCAAGAACAAAUGCGAUAAUUAGUGAGUUUCGUAUCAGAUAAAUUAGCUAUAAAACAAUCGGAAUUGAAAAUCUAGGGCUUAAGAAAACGAUAUAUAUACCUGGUUUUCGGCUUCGAAACGGACAACAUAAAGAAUUUGAACAUCGAUCUAGCAACACUGAAUUAUGAAUACACUCGAAUAGAUACAUACACACACGAUUAUUAUCGAUCGAUGCGGCGUGCCCUAGCACGAGGAGUUUAGAAGAGAUUUUAUACCUAAAAUAUAAGUGGGGUAAGUGAUGGGCUAGGGUUUCUUCUGGAUAAUCGGAAUGGGCUUUUUAUAAAUUAUAAGAUGGGGUAAGUGAUGGGCUUUUUAUGAGUUACUUUAUAUAACUAUGAUAGUAGAAUUUUAUGGGCCUCGUUUGAUUUGAUAAGUGAAUGACACGAGACCGUUAGUGUGAUUGUUCAGAAUUUUAUAUGUUAAACAUGUAUUUUAUAUGUUUGAUUGUUUUUUUAUUUUGAAUUAGAUGACGGUGAAAAGCUCCGUGACUACAUGCUAAUUUUCUUCGCUAAAUUUUAUAUGCUAAUGUUCUCUAUAGUUUAAAAAGUUUGAAAUGUUGAAAAUUUUGAUAUUCAAGCAAACUUAAUUUUAAAUAUAUGUUAAUAAGUCUAAUUAUAAAAAAAUAAUAAAUUAUAAUUGAAAAAUAUGUAUUAUAUUAUUAAAAAUAUUAAAUUAAAUUAAUUGAAAUCCAUCAAAUAUAGGUAUAGGGUUUUAAAAAAUUAUAAUUUAAUUUUAAAUAUUUGUUGCUAGAUUUAUCUUAUUUAGCAUGUAAUUUAUAUUAAAAUGUAAUAAUCGAAUAUAUGGAUAUUUCGUGGUUUGAAUCACUUUCAAUUACCGUCAUUAAAUUUCAUAUCAAAUUGAUGAGAAAUAUUUAAUAUAAUAUUUAGAAGAGUUUCUUUAUAUGAUUAGGGUUUAUUUCUCAUCAAUAAUAUAAUCGAAUUUAAUUUAUAAUAUAAAUUUAUAAUUAUUUAAAAUUCCAAACAGCCAUAUUAAAUAUUAUAUUAAAAUUAUAUAAAGAAUAUAAAACAUACAAUAGUAUCAAUUAUUUAUUAAAAUAAUAUAUAUUUAAGACUAUUUACUUAGAUUAAUAUUUCUGUUGAUUAAUUCAAAAACACCCAAAUCAUAAUAGAUUUAAGAUAAUUUUUGAUAAUUUAAAAAACCUUUCAUUUUCUUAAUAUCUGUUAAAAUCACCAUUGUCAUAAAAAAAACUACAUGAUAAAUAUUUGAUAUAAUUGAUACAUUAAUAUACAUACGUGCAUAAAUGAAUGUAUAUACGAACUUCUCUGGAAGAUCCACAGUGCGAUCGCAGGUAUAAAUUAAUCCGAAACCGAUUUAGUCCGAUCAUAAAUAAAUCUCGGGAAUAAUAAAAGAAUCCAAAACGAGUAAUAUUAAUAUUAUUUAUUAUUCUCUAGAUUUUAUUUAAUUUGUUUUUUUUAGAGAUAGUUCUGUAUGUAUUUUAAAGUUUUAUAAAAUAUAUUUCUUAAAUAAUUUGAUGAAAAAAUUUCUAGAUAAAAUUAAAAUUUUAAUUUUAACAAAAAUAGGAAAAGUACAAAAUGAGUCAUGAAAAUCUAUUUUAUAAAAAUUUAAAAUAUAAAUAAGGAAAUUCUAAUGAAAUUAUAAAACGAUUUACAUAUAGUUAUUGACAUUGAUUUUAGACGAGAAGGGAAAUUGUGUUUGUUUAAACUUUAAUCUAAAUUCUAAUCAUUUUGUUUGUGUUUGUUUAAACUGUAAUAAAUUUGUUUCGCUUGUACAUUCAUCAACAAUAAAUUGUUUUAUGUUCUUCCAUCAAUAAGAUCACAAAAACAUCUAGCUUCGGCACCUAAACAAAUGCUACAUAACCCAGAAGAAAAUUGGUAAAUUAUGAAUAACUGUUCCAAAAUGCAGAAUCCUGUUUUAACACACAAACAAGCGUAUUAUAUACAUUAUACAGGUCAAUAAAUAAAAAGACAAAUACUAGAAAUACUUCAAGUAACUUAAUGGUUACUUGAACAUCAUCUAUUUUAAGUCUUUUGAGCCCUGAUCUUACAUACGGAUAAGAAAAGACAAUAUGGUUACUACCAAUUCGCGGUCCUUAGAUAAUUGAUUUUCAUCAUUUUGGAGCAUCAUCUUCAUUGUUUACUGCAAAUCAUCUUCCUUGUUUACUGCAAAGAAGAAUGUGAAAAUCAGUGACUUUCAUACUAGAAAAUUUAAUAAAUUUCAAGUACAUUAUAACUUAACUAUAAGCAUACCUUCACCAUUUAUGAGUCAUACAUCUCCCAAUUAUUAUUAAAGAAAAAACAAUCUUUACGUGAAUAAGAUUGUAUUGAGUUUGUUUUAUGGCAGGGUCGGCUAGGAGCUCAGCACAAAACUCUAGCCACCUACAUAGAGCUCGCUGAGGGAAGAUGGAACUCAUCCUUGUGCUUUGGAACAAGGUCGGAAAUUCCUAGAGGUGGUGCCAGCCUCUAGGUUCUUUUACCUCAUCAGCUGCAUAAACACAAACACUGGACACAGGCACAGUGGACAUAUAAUAUAUCUUAGAAAAAUAACGAUGGAAGUUUCAUAAUUUUGCAUAUAUUGUAGGGAGUGUACAUAUAAAAACCAAUUUUUUCGUUAUACAAAAAUCAAGCGAAGGGUGAGGACUACCAUCUCGAGAAAUGUUGGCAUUUCUCUUUGUCCACUUGGUGCCAAUUUUGGUAAAAUUAAUUUUAUUCCUUGCCAACCUGACAUAAUAAAUUACAUAUUCUACGCAUUAAUUAAAAAAUUAACAAUUAUGAGAGUACUUCAAUACUAAUUUAUGUCCUUUCAGUCAUCACAAUAAAUAAAGUUCAUACAGAAACCUAUAAACACUACUAGAAAAACGUCAAUAAACAUCAGUUAAAAACCCAUGUUUAUGAAAAAGAGAAACCGAUGUCUUCGUGGGUGAUGUUAAAGAUCCCCUCAUUUAACAUCGGUUUCAAACUGAUGUGAAAGAUGUCGUAUGACAUCGUUUCUUAAUUUGAAACCGAUAUCUAUAUCUUGAUGUUAAAUUUUUAAUGCACAUCUAUAAUUUAUAUAUAAUUAUAAUAUGAUAUUUUUAUCAAUUUAAAGAUAUGUAAUAAAGGUCAAAGAAAAGAAAAGGUGCACUCAUAUACUCAACACCACACCUUUUUUUAGCGAGCUCUACAGUGUUUUUCCCCCCUUCCCGACCAGUACUAGUACAAGACUUUGGCCUGCAAAGAGAAAGGAGAACAAUUGCAGGAAGUAAUAACUGUUAAUGUGGCAAACAGGUUUAUUUUUCAGAAUAACAACUCAAAUAAAAAGUCUCAUACUAACACUUAUAAUGCAAACAUUUGCACUCAGUAAAUGCAGGAGCUAGUCCCCAAAAUAAGAUGCAAGUAAAAGAAAGGAACACAAUUACUCAGCAAUAAAUAAUUUAUAGAGUUUAAACUUCAAAACAAGACUAAAAAUUGGAAACGCAUCUGUAGUUCCUUUUUCGAACCACAUCUGUCAAUGAACCACACCAUUAAAUUCAGUAACAGAGAUUAAUUACAACAGAAAUUUAUAAGUCUACAACAGAAAGAGGACCCAAAUAAAAAACUACUAGAGAGUCACAAAAAUAAAACUAAAAGAAAUGGAGAAAGCAUCUUCAGUUCCUUUUCCUGACAACAUCUGCUUAUGUCUGAAUUAUAUUUAUGAACCACAACAUCAAAUUCAGUAACAGAGCUUGAAUGAAAGAUUAAUAUAACAAACUAGCAAGCAAAAACUAUACAACAAACACUGGAAAACAAACAUAAAAAGAAUAUAAGGUUACCCUGUGUUGGAGUUAUUCAUGCCCAAAAACUUUCUGUUACAAUCUUCAUAUGAUUUAGCCAAUUUUUUGUUCUGGUGGAGCGAUGCUGCACAGAUCAAAAAAAUUUGUCAAAAGGCUAAACAAGACUAUUAACAAACAGUUAUUAGAUUAUACUCAUCUCUCUCAAAACUCACCUUCAUAAUUUAACUACCUCUGGGUCCCUGAGUUAAUUAGUAAUUAGUAAUUUAGGAUAAGAACAAUCACUCAACUAAUUACAAAUUAAAAAUUAGGGUUUCAAAUUGAAACCCCCAAUUCUAAAAUUAGGGUUUAAAACUUACCCAAUUCAAACUUUAACCUCCGAAUUAGCUCUAAACUCUGACUUGAACUCCGACUUGAGCUCCGACGACCCUCUAACUUUUAACCUUUAACUCCCGACUGGAACUUCGACAGAGAGAGAGUAGACAGCCCAAAGAGAGAGAGUAGACAGCCAAGAGAGAGCAGACAGUAGUGGGAAGUGAGUUUAGCAGUGAGGUGAGAGUGAGUUCUUCGGUCGACAAGAUCGAGUGAGAGAGGAGAUCGAGUGAGAGACAGCAGUGGUUUACGAUUUUUGAUUUUAUGUUUUAUGUUUUAUGUUUAUGUUUUAUGUUUUUGAUUUUGAUUUUGAUUUUAUUUUUAAUUUUUGAUCCACAUCAAAAAUAAAGGGGGGGGGGAUUUUGCUAAGGCAAAAAACGAGGGGAAUUUUUAGGAGGGAAUGAAUUAUUUGGCUAAGGGGGGAAAACGGGAAACGCGCGCUUCUUAAAUUUUUAAAACAGACUUAUAACAUCAGUUCUUCUAAAACACCGAUGUGUAUAUUAACCAAAGACAACAGUCGUUCAAAACCGAUGUGAGAAAACCCUUUUACAUCGGCUCCAGGAGCAACUGAUGUCUAAUAGGCGAUGUCUAUUCUACUUUUUCUAGUAGUGAAACGUAAAUGCACAGGCUACAUACAUAAUUAAUCACAAAUUGCAAGAUAGUGCCGCUUGGAUGCAUCCUCUCACAGUGUUUUGAAUUAAAUAAAUGUGAUUCAACAAGAUAUAACACAAUAGUAUCAACAAUAUCUGGAUUCUUAAUGCCCAUUCAUUGUUAAUUUUCGAGACUGUUUGGUUUCCCUUUAUUAUCUCUAUCCAACAAGCAAUGGUAUCUAAUAACAAUAGAAAGCUUUCCAUAGACAUACAGAAAUCAAAAAGCAGUUUACUUUUCUAAUUAACUUCUACAUUAUACUACGAGAAAUAGGGUGCUCAAAACUAACACAAAAUAGUAUCACAAUAUCUGGAUUCUUAAUGCCCAUCCAUUGUUAAUUUUCAAGACUGUUUGGUUUCUCUUUAUUAUCUCUAUCCAACAAGCAAUGAUCUCUUACAACAAUAGAAAGCUAAAGUAUUUCCAUAGACAUACAGAAUCAAAAAAUAGUUUCCUUUUCUAAUUAACUUCUACAUUAUACUACAAGAAAAAGGGUGCUCAAAACUAACACAAAAUAUUCCAAUACAGCUAACCAACACAAUCACGAUAUGUUCAAAACAGACCACAAUUACCAAAGGUCGUUCAAAACUAAUCACAAAUUACCCUGAUCCAGUGACAAAAUAUUCCGAUACAGCCAACCAACACAAUCAAGUGCACGAUCAAUCAUAAAUAUUCCGAUACAGCUAACCAACACAAUCAAGGGCACGAUCUACCAAUUAUCACAUAUAUGUUCAAAACAGACUACAAUCAUAUGAGAUUUAGCUAGUCAAUUAAACAAGCUUUCAUUACAGAUCAGAAUUUUACCCACCAGGAGAAGUUCUUAAGUGCACAAUGUCAUCAAUGUCGUCCUCAUCAUCAAUCCACCCGUAACAAGGCCUGCGUCGUUUCCUUGGAAUAGUUCCGCCUGGUGCUUGUGGAGGGAGGAUGGCCAGGGAAAGCUCGGUGUUAGUAUUACCGAGGUUGACAUCUGAGCUGAUAACAGGGGCCAUAAGAUUAACAUCACGUCCACGGGACGCUUCCAUACCUUCACCAUGGAGAACAACAUUCUCAUCAUUCUAUGUGUGUGGUGACUAAUAUCAUAUUACAUUCUGCAAUUUAAAAUUUUGCUAUCCUGACCUUUAUGUAAUAACAUUGUUUCACCAUAAAGUCAAUAAGAUUGUAUCAUACAAAUAUUGGCGAGGCAUAAACUCAACUUAUUUUUCUUAAACGAGAUGAUAAUUCUUAUAGUGUACCUGUAUUGUCAGAAUUUUACCCACUAGAGGCAGCAAUAGAACAAAGUUUUGUUUUUCUGGAGCAUCUUCUUCAUUGUUUACUGAAACAAAAAAAGCAAAAUUAGCGAGUUUCAUAUCAGAUAAAUUAGCUAUCAAACAAUCGGAAUUGAGAAAUCUAGGGCUUAAAAACACGAAAUAUAUACCUGUUUUUGGGCUUCGAAACGGAUAACAUAACGAAUUUGAAACAUCGAUCCAGCGAUUCAGCACUGAAUUAUGAAUACACUCAAACACACACGAUUAUUAUCGAUCGACGCGGCGUGCCCUAGUCUAAUUGGGAAGCCGCCGCCUUAACCUGCACGAGGAGGAGUUUACAGGUGAUUUUAUACCUAAAACAUAUGGGCUAGGGUUUCUUAUGAAUAAUCUGAAUGGGCUUUCUUUAAGUGAUGGGCUAGGGUUUAAUCUGAAUAAUCGGAAUGGGCUUUUUUUAAGUGAUGGACUGUUAUUGUGAUUGUUCAUAAACACGUUUGACUGUUUUUAUUUUGAAUUAGAUGAUGGUGAAAAGCUUCGUGGCGAUAUAUACUGAUUUUCUUCACUAAAUCAUGGAUCAAGUUCUCCGUAGUUUAAAAAUUUUAAAAAUGUUGAAAGUUUUGAUAUUUAAGCAAAUUUAUUUUAAAAUAUAUGAUGAUAAGUCCAUUUAUAAAAAAAAAAUUUAAAUUUAAAUUUUAAUAUUAAAAUAUGUAUUAUAGUCUCGGAAAAAAAUAUGAUCAUAGUCUCGGAAAAAAAAGUAAGUCUUUUUCUAUAUCAAAAUAUUUGAAAUGAAUUUUUAAAUUCUAAUUUGAUAUUUAUUAAUGUAUGCAGUUUUUAUUUUUGAUAUAUUGAAAAAAGUAGUUUUGAAACUUUCCUCCAAUAUAUCCGAAACUGAAAAAGGUAAUUUUUAUUUUUGAUAUUUACAAAAUUAAAAAUAUAAUUCGAAACUUUCUUCCAAUAAUUUUGAUACAGAAAAAGGUAGGUAGAUUUAAUUUUUGAUAUACUGAAAAUGAUAGUUCUACAACUUGCUUCUAAUAUACCCGAAACUAAAAAAAGUAGUUUUUAUUUUUGAUAUUUUUCAUCCAAAAAUUUCAGAAAAUUGGAGGAAAAAAAGUAAGUUUUUUUCCAUAUCAAAAUAAUCGAAAAGAAAUUUCAAAUUCUGAUUUGAUAUUUAUUAAGUUAGUUUUUAUUUUUGAUAUAUAGAAAAAUGAUGUUUUGAAACUUUCCUUCAAUAUCCGAAAUUGAAAAUGGUGAUUUUUAUACAAAAAAAAAGUAAUGUAGAUAGGUAGAUUUUAUUUUUGAUAUUUUGAAAACGAUAGUUCUAAAAUUUACUUCCUCGCAUAAUCACAAAUUCUGCUCCCUCGGAGUUAAGUCCAACCUGUGACCAAGGAUACAAGUCUCCGCUUUUAAUCUAGUUGAACCAACCCUUUCUGACAAAAGAUGUAUUUGAUAUGGGGCUAAAAAUGCAAAAACCGAAACGAAAAUGAGAUAUAUUUGAGGCAUAUGGUCGAAAAGCUUGAACAUGUUUGUAAGUUUUCUAAAUUAGGGUGAGACUCUGUUAUAUAUUUCUAAAUUAUAAAAAAUCGUGUUUUUCAUUUUUUUCCCCCAGUUUUUGGGCUGAGCGUGUAUUAUUUUUUCAAGAAAAUUUCAAGUGCACAGUUUAAACUUUAAACCUCAUUCAUCUUUGUAUCACCAUCAAAAUGAGAUCAUUCAUCUUUUUAUCACCAUCAUAAUUAACUUUGGAAGAUAUAAAGUUCUCAUAUUGACUUGCAUGGGAAACUGGGAGCUCAUACUAAGACUCCUAUAUCCGUCAGUAAAAACAUUUUUCGGGAGCACAUUAUCAAAACAAAUAAGCUGUUUGUUUAUAAUCUUAAAUAACAAUAUUAGUUGUUAUAUUAUCAUUUUUAUCACAAGUUCCCAAACUGCUUGCAAGUUGGGAAAGUUUCCUGAAAAGGAAUCUGUUCUGCUUUUCUUCCAAGUAUUAUAUCACACUCUCAUUCUUUCAUUUUCAUGUCAGCAAUAACAAUGGAAAAUAUGCUUUGGCAAUACUGAUACCAUUCAAGCUGAGGUGUACCAGAGUAGAUAAAUUCAAUAACCAACCAAAUAUGCCACCUUGUAGAAUACCAGUGUGGCCGAGAUUAAGCUGCUGUAAUUUGAAAAGAUUACCAAGCUGAUGUUGAAUGGCUCCAGAAAAAAGGUUAUCAAAGAUCGAGGUAUGUGAAGCUGGUGAAAGAAGGAAUGAAAAAAAAAUAAAAAACUUUAAAAUUGCAAAUUUAAACUUUUACAUUAAAGAUAACACAUUUGUCUAAAAGUUGAGAACCAAAUGAAUAGCAGCUUAUACAAUAUCUUAAUCAAGACAAGACAAUUUUUGUCCACCAUUAUCCUACAAUUUGCAAAGCCUCAAAGGCUGCUCACACUAAAAGAAGUCCCAAAACAUUUCAUAAAUUUUUAAGUUAAAGUAGUUGAAGUACAUCCUCUGUUUUCUCUGAGCAAACAUCAUCUUUUGUAUUUGGAUUUUAAAGGUGUGCUCUAUCUCUCGCUUUCACAGAGCAUUUCUCUCAGUAAUACAACGGCCUCCAUAACAGAAAAUUCUUUCAUCCAUUUGGCCACCCCUUCGCCAAAUUUGUCUGCCCAAUAUAUUUCGGAUCAAUGGCCAUAAAAAUCUUUACGCAACUCCUAAAACCAUCUUCGAAGGCCUCUUUUAUUUUUUUGUUUCUCAACAGCUCAAUUGUUGGCCCUGUCGAGUGACGCCAAUGCAAGAACAUCCUUGAAAGCUCACAGGCCUAGAACUGAAAACAAUCUUAUAAAUAAAAAGAUAUUCUUUAAAACAUUAAACUUUAUCUCUACAAGAAUAGUCUAUAUCUAUGUGUAAUCACAAUUUAUUACGAUUACGAACUAACAAUAUAUAAGCAGACAAACUUAGGCACAUCGUCAUAGAAUGAACAACAAAGUUAUACAACUUAUUUAAAAACAUCAGUUGGGAAAAGCAGUAUAAAGAGGUAGAGACUUGGUGGCCUCAGAUAAAGGACGUUGUGCGAAUAUAACCUGGCUUUCUACUUGCUGGCACCAUAGUGGUGAAUUGAGCCAUUUCUCACCAAAAUCUUACUUGCAAAUUUGCUAGCUAUUAAUACAUUUAAUGGUUGAAUAUUCUUUAUUAGAUUGUAUUCUAAUAAUUAACUUGUGUUUUAUCCUUUAUUAUACAUAAAGAUAUAUAAUAUUUAGAAGUAAUUUCUGAAAAUUCCAUUGACUCCUGUUUCACACUGUGCCCACUUACAGGACUUGUUCUAGGGAAAGUGACUUGUGCCUCCAAGCAUUUCAAGCUCAAACUGUGAAGCCCAAAUAAUAUAGCAGGCAAGUAGCUUACUAUAUGUAGCAGUAAAGACAAAGACAAUGCUACUAUGCCGGAAAAAAUUGCAAGGGCACUCGCAAAGGAUCAGAUAUACCUAAUGCAGAAUAACCCGAAGGAGGAAGUUCAUUAUUCACCUCGAUACUCAGUUAACAGUUUUUAACUUAUAGAAAACCAACAACUUCAAGCAGAAAAAGAUCAGGUAGAGCAAUAGUAGCUAGUUGAUGCAAAAAUUAAAUGCCUCAAAGAGUCUGAUACGAAGUUAGUUAAGUGUGUGGCUGUGUGCAUAUGUGGAGAGAGUUACCAUAGCAUAUAGCAAGGAUAAAGAAGCUUAUCAAUUCAUUCUAUCAAGCAAUAAUAAUUCAGCUUACCUGAAUUCAUAAGCGGAAGUACAAAGAAAAGUUCAGAGAGUCCCACGAGAGAAUGAAUCGUGUCUGAACUGAUUGCCCAUACAAGAUCUCCCUGAAAAGAAGAUUGAAGUCCGAGAAAUGACACAAUAAAUGAGAAGAUUUCUAUCAUAAAUCACAAGUGCUUGUAAAAUAAAAUUGCAUGUGGAAUGACUAAGCUGCAACUACGUAUUACCUUGAGCUGCAAAAACAUUUCAUAUGUGAAUACAAGAAACAAAUGACAACUAUUAUUAGCAAGGCAUGAACACACAAGUCCCCUUAAAAUAAGUUGAAAAAAAUAAUCACCACCUGUGGAAUGUAACGAUGGCUCUUGCGCUUAGGUUGGUGAACUGCUGCUGAGGAGCAGUCACUUAGAACAGUCUCCACUUGCGCUGGAGGUUUGUUUUUGAGCAUACAGCUGGAUGCCUGGAUUUUCCUCACCUUUCCUUGCCUCUGUCAAAUCUAAGACUUUAUCCUAAUCAUCACCGAUUAAAAAAUCAAAAUCCACGAUAAAUUAAGCAUCAAAACCCUAAUGAAACACAGACACCAAUUCAAAUACACAUAGAAAUUGAUAAAGACAACGAACUGCGCAUACAUAAAAAUCUGCUGCUAUGCUCUCCGGAUAAAUCAGAAGGAGAUAACUGCCCACGACUAUGAUCAUAUAACAUAAAUCAACCCUGAAAAUCAGCAAGAAUAACAUACAUACCCGCUUUGACCCUCUAGCUGAAUCCGUCAUAUUCAUGCCGAUCGGCUUUCCCCGGUGUGAAAAGAUUGUCCAGAGAAGGCCAUUUAUAAGUAAAUCUCUGAGGAGGCACAGAGACCUCAGUUACGGAGCGGGUAACUGAAGUGCCUGUCCAAGUCCCAGGCUGAACAUAACCGCUAGGCAAGCUGAGAGAAAAUAUAAAAGAAAUAGCCAAAAGUGCAGAGAGCAGGGAUUUUGAUUCAAGAGCGUAAAGAGCGCCACGUAAGACGCCCGAGAUUUUGCUUUAUAUAGAUAUAAGAUUUGACAUUCUUUAGUAUAAAACUUUAAAAAUAAUAUUAAUUACAUAUACGUCAAGUGAGUAGCAUGUAAACUAUGAAUUUUUUUUACAAAGUGCUGAAUCGAUCCUCUGUCAUCACACAAACGUAUUAUAUACAUUAUAUAGGUAAAUAAAUAAACAGACAAAUAUAAAAACUACUUGAGUAACUUAGAUUUUAAGUCUUUUGAGCAUUGAUGUUACAUAGAAAUAAGAAUAAGACAAUAUGGUAAGGAAUACAUUGGUAGGUUCAACUACUUGGAAAAAAAUCAUCUACAUUGCCAGCUUUUAACUUAGUUCUUGCAAUUUCAAAAGUUCCCGAUAUGUCGCGUUGCUUUAUCUUCAACGAAAUAACCAAGUAGACAAGCAGCAGCUUCUUAAUAGCAGAUAAGUAGCAGAUUAGCCAGCCUUAGUUACUGUUUUCCAUCUUUUUGGAGCAUCAUCUUCAUUGUUUACUGCAAGAAGAAAUUUGAAAACCAGUGAAUUGAAUACUAGAAAACUUAAUAGAUUUUCAAGUACAUUAUAACUAUAUAACAAGCAUACCUUCACCAUCUCAGAGCCAUACGUAUCCUGGAUAUUAAACAAGAUAAUCUUCACGUGAAAAAGAUUGUACUGAGUUUGUUUUACAAUACCUCAAAGUGUGUACGAAAACAUACCUUUAAAAAGAAGUAAAGAUAUAUCACAAACUAAUAACUUUCAACCAAACUAUACAAUAUACUACGACAGAAAGUUUAAUAUUCCCUCUGUCCCGGUUACAUUUUAACCGACUUUGACUUUUUAACACGUAUAUUGAGAUGCAAAAAAAUAAUAUCUACACUGAAUAAAAAAAUUCAAUUCUUAUACCAAAUAAUAGUUUAGAUUCUAAACGUUUAAUUGAUAUGAAUUUUAUAAAGAAUUAUUAUGUUUAGAUGUGAUUUUCUUAACACCUUAAAAUACAUGUAAAAAAGUCAAAAGCAGUUAAAAUGAGAUGGAGAGAGCAUAUAGAACAAGAUAUUUGUGUGCACAUAAAGUCUCUUACCUCAACAAUAUUUCCUCUAGGAAGGCCGACACCCAAUGCAAUGUCCAAUGUCAGACAACCACUUGGAAAAGAGUCACUGCAGUAGACCAAAUUGGAGAACAGGGCAAUUUGUAAGUAAUGAAAACUGAGAGUGUGUGCUUGUUCAUUUCUAUCGAAGUGAUUUAAAGAAAGAUAAGGAAAAGUUCACAUUGCAGACAGAACAUUCGAAAUUUCGAACAGCGUUUAUUAAAUGCAAAUAGAAUUGGAAGAAGUCUACAUUAAUAGUAUUUGAACACAUACACAAGAGAUCCACCAGCAUUGCCUAAUCUUGUUACAGCUCCUUUUCCAAAUGAGUUAUUAAUGUCAUUCAUAGCUGCUUCCAAUGCUUUCGCCUGUAACAAAAUAUUUACAUCAAAUAUGGACAUUAGAUUAGUUUUGAUUAUGGUCCAUGAAAUAAAUUGUAACAUUCCUCAUUUCCACAUUGUUUGACUUAUGAGCUAAUUUAUUUUUAGACAUCCAUCUUCUUCUUGAAUUGUAUAAUAUCCUAUCAAGUUGAUUAAUCCAAGAACUGUAGUCUGUAGGUGUUUCCCAUAAGAACCUGAGGCAUAUUUGACAUCUUACGUUCUUUCCUAAUCACGGUGCUUCUUAAAGAAUAAUAUUACCUGACAAGAUUAUGAAACUCAGAAAGUAAAGCACCGCAUAUUAUAUCACUAUUUAAGGACUCACCUUCUUUCAAAACUCCACCCAGCUCUAUCAAUUUAGGGUAUAAUAUAUGAUGAAUGCAAUCCCUGUUUACGACUCCUAAUAAUAAUAACAAUGCCGAUGCCUUCUACACCAAGAGUGUGGGAUAGUUCAUAGGAAGUGAAUCAUAUACAGUGAAUCCAAUUCCGUACAUAUCAGACUACUUCAGAUAAACUGGCACAAGCACGGAUAUAGUUGCAACUUUAUCAUUGGAGUACUUUUAACUAAAUCAUCCCUUGCACUAUAAGUCAUAAUAACAAAUUACUUGCCAACAAGUUAGAAUCUCCAGAAUGCACCAUUCCAAAUAACUAAAAUAAGAGCAAAAUUAUAUACUUCAACAACUAAUUAACGACCAAAAAAUUAUGGCUAGGAACAGAACACAGUAAACAGAAUACACAAAAUAACAAAUAUAUAUCACAUUUCCACAAUAACAAUUAACAUAAGCUGAUUACAUUACCGUAAAAAAACACAUAAAACCCUUCCAACUCUAAUAUACUUCUACUUCUAUCCCUAUCAAACAACACCUCAAAUGUUCUUCGCAUAUAAUUCCUACAUUUUUUGCUAUAAAUUACCCUACAGCACGACGAAGAUGCCCGGCCUGUGAUCGCAUAAUUGGGACCGUGUAUUGGGACGAGGAUAAAAAGAACAUCAUCGGUGUACCAGUUUCUUUCAGACAAAAGUGGAAGCGUUAAGCUCCUUUAAUAGGUCUUAGCAGAAAUGUAAUUAAAAAAUAACUGGGGUAUACUUGUCAUUUCACAAGUAUUAUUUAGGCAUAUUUUUCCCGUGGUUGGCUUAUUAUAUAUAGAAGUAGAUUGUUCUCGCCAAUUCAGUGGUGCGGAUAAAAAUGUUUGAUUCUUCUACAUACAUACCAAAAUUUAAUAUUUUUAUAUUAAUUCCCUAAUUUUUCUAAAUUAAUAUAUUUAUCAAUUCGCAGUUUCAGACCGAUACCGGAAGGAUAUGAUAAUAAAAUUUUCAUUUUAUAAAUUUCUUGUACAUUAAUCAAUACUAUGUUCUCUGUUCUUCCACCAAUAACUUCAUGAAAACAUUAACUUUGGCACCUAAGCAAAUCCUACAGAAAUCUGUAGACAACUGGUAAACUAAGAAAAAUCAUUCCAAAGUACAGACUCGAUCUUGGGUUAACAAACACAUAUUAUACAUCGUUUAGCUCAAUAAAUAAAUAGACAAAUAUAAAAACUACUUCAAGUAACUUGCACGUGCUGAACAUCAUCGAUUUUAAGUCUUUUGAGCCCUGAUUUUACAUGGGAAUAAGUAUAAGACAAUAUUGUAAAGAAUACAUAUGCAGAACUGCAUGGAAGAAGGUUAUCACUUUUAACUCGGUUCUUGCGAUUUCAAAAGUUCCACGAUGUGCUGCUUCGUUCCUUUUAUCUUUCUCUUUGUAGAAGCCAGUUUAAUUUUCAUAUUACCUUCUUGGUUAUCUUUUGUACAAGUGGUAUUGCAAGUGUUUUCAGAUUAAAAGCUAAGAGAAAACACCUUUAAAGUUAAAUUCUCAAAUUUUUAAUAUUUAAUCAAUGAUGGACAACAAAAACCAAUAUGAUGAUUAAUUCCUAACAACAAUCUUAUCAUGUCUUUUUAGAAAUAAAAUGAUAUACAGGUAUGGGAAAAAAGACGCAAGAACUACAGGUUAAACUAAUAUAUUUGGGUCAAUGCAUAAUUAUAGGGAAAUCAUUUAUAUGUUAAUGAAUUAAGUAAGAAGUAGAUCUACCUUCAGCAAUUGUGUGCUCUUCUGAUGUUCUCUCGCACACAGUUGGCCGAGUCACAAGGAAUCCCUCGCAGUGGUCACAAAUUAUCUCCCAUUUAAUAGGUGCAAUUUCAUUAAAUGGGUUGCCAGCCUUUGGGUUCUUUUGCCUCAUAUCAGCUGCAUGACCACUGGACACAAAGAGUACAUUGGACAUAUAAAGCUUGUUAGAGAGAUAAAGAUUGAAUGUCAUGAUUUUGCAUAUACUGUAUGAAGUUUGUACAUGUAACAAAUAAUUUUUGUUAGUCUUACAAAUAUCAAGCAAAGUGGGAAUUCCGCAACGAAUAUGUUGGCAUUUCUCGUUGUCCACUUUGAGGCGGGUUUGGUAGAACUACUGUUUUCCCUUGCCAACCUGACAUAAUGAAUUUCAAUAUUUCACGAAUUACAUAUUCUAUGCAUUAAUUAAAAAAUUGACAGAUAUGAGAGUACUUAAAUAUUAAUAUAUGUGCUCUUAGAUAUCACAACAAAUAAAGUUCAUAUGGAAACUUAUAAAAGUAAAUGCACAACAUACAUAUAUAAUUGAUCCCAAUUGCACGAUAGCGCUGAUUCAAAUGGAUCCUCCCUCGAUGUUUUAAUUUAAAUAAGAGGCCAUUUGGAGACAUGCAUUUCAUUUCAAAUGACAAGAUUUAAGUUGUCAUUUCAAACACUCAAAUUUAUACAAAUAUUUGAAUGUCUGGAUUUCAAAUGAAAUCCAAAUCCACAUUCCCAAUCAGAUUAUUUGAUCAAAUCCAAAAUUUCAAAUGAAAUCCAAUUUUCCAAACAGGCCAUAAAUGUAAUCCAACAAGAUACAAUAAAAUCUUAUCAACAAUAUCUGGAUUCUUAAUGACCAUUAAUCGUUCAAUUUCGAGAUUAUGGCUUCCCUUUAUCAUCUCUCCAAUAAGAGAAAGAAUUUUCAUAGAUAGAGAUCGAAAUGUGGUUUAGUUUUUCAAUUACCUUCCAUAUUAUAGUACAAGAAAAAGGGCGCUCAAAACUAACACAAAUCACCCACUUAUGUUAUGACAAAAUAUUCUGAUACAGCUAACCAACACAACCAAGGGCACAAUAUAUCAUAGGGUUAGUUACCAGCAUUCAAAACCCAUCAAUAAAUCUAACCACGUAUAUGUUCAAAACAGACCACAAAAAAUUCCGAUCAAGGACACGAUCUAUCAUCAGCAUAAAGCCGACCACUACCAAUUGUCACAUAUAUGUUCAAAACAGACCACAAUUAAAUGGCAUUUAGCUAGUCCAUUAAACAAGCCUUUCAUUACAAGUAUCAGAAUGUUACCCAAUCAGGCAGAUCAUUGUUUUGUUUUUCUGGAGCAUCUUCUUCAUUGUUUACUGCAAGAAGAAAUCUGAUAAUUAGUGUAUUUCAAAUUAGAUAAAUUAACUAUUAAACAAUCAGAAUUGAGAAAUCUAGGGCUUAAAAACACAACAUAUAUACCUGUUUUUAAACUUCGAAACAGAUAGCAUCACGAAACGAUUCAGCACUUUACACUCAAAUAGAUACAUACACACACGAUUAUCAUAGAUCGUUGCGGCGAUGCCCUAAUCUAGGCGAUGCCCUAAUGUAAUUGAGAAGCUGCCGCCUUAACCUACACGACGAGUGAUUUUAUACCUAAAAAUAAAUUGGGUUAACUAAAAGGCCUGGGCUUUCUUACGAGUAUUGGAUUUUUCCGUGAGUUAUUUUAUAAAAGGUCCAAGUACAUGUCAUACAUAACUCAUGGGCUUUCUUAUGAGUAAUGGACUUUUUCGUGAGUUAUUUUAUAAAGGGUCCAGGUACAUGCUAUACAAUAUACAUAAUUCAGGACCACAGCUUCUUGGCCAUUGGAUCUAGCGAUGAGAAUUAUAACAAAAAUUUGAUAUGUCCGGCGCAAGAAGAAAGACCCUCAACGCUUUUUAACUGUUGGACAGGAAAAAUGACCAUGUCCAUGAUUAAAAAACGCCGGACAUAACUUGUUCCGUGCUUAAAAAAUGCUAUCAUGACUCUUGAAUAUUCAUCGAACGGUCAUAAACCAGUGUGUUGGUUAAGGCUUCCUCGCAUACAUAUGUCAGGGACCAACUCCCUUUAUACAAUGUGUCGGUAGAUAGAGUAGAAAGGCUAGGAUAAAAUAAUGAGAAUUGAGAACAAAUAUGUCAUUGUUAGCUUAGCGUUAAGUGUCCAAAAUUUAUUCCUAUAUUUUUUCUCAAAUCUAUUGGAUAAUGUGCGAUUGAUUACUUAUAUAAUAAUAAAUAUGUAUAUAAAUCACCCAGUUAAAAUCCGUCAUGUGGUUUGGGAAAAAUAAAAUUGAGGACGAAUUUUGAGGUACAUAGUAUUUUUCCAAACAAAAUAUCAUUAUUAAAUCAAUAACAAGGAAUUUUUAUCCUCUUCAUAUCAAGGUUUAUAGCAUAUUUUUAUAAAUUUGCACAUAAUAAUUAUAUAUAUUUUUUAUACUUUUUAUGAAAUAAAAAGAGUCGUGAAUAUUUUUUGUCGAAAAAUAGUAAACGCAGUUAAACACCUCAUCACAAACAGAAAUAUCACAUGAGUACCCGCAAGGGUUAGUUCAGCUGGUUAAAGAGGGGACAUGUAUUCUCUUGGUCACACACUCAUAGGUUCGAGUCCCGAAGGGAGCGGGGUUCCUACGUUAAAAAAUAUAUAAAAUAAAAAAUAAAAAAAAUAUCACAUGAGUCAAUAUCCAUAAAUUAUAGUUAAAUUAUACGCAUUUUAACUAGUCUUAAUAAUUUACAAAAAUUAUUUACAAAUUUAUUAUAUAUCAUAAGAUUGAUCCAAGCCAGUGAAGAUAGUUAAGAUGAUUUUGGUAGUAGGUUGAAUAAUAUCAAAUCAUGUUAAAAAAUAACAUAGAAAAAAUUUACGUAUUCAAUUAUAAAUUUUAAAUAGAAAAUACCCGAAUAUCAUGUACUUCGAACCAUAAUCUAAUUCAGGUAAAUAUUUAUUUGGAUAUAAUUGAUUAUGGAUUAUCAAAAAUCUAGUAUUUCGAUUUUAUUUGGGUUAACUUUCCGAUUCACAUAUUUUUUUUUAUCAAAAUCAAAUCGAUUUUCGAAUUCUAAUCAAAUUUGAUUAUAUUAGAGCAUCUCCAACGACGUUGGUUAUAAUCGCUGGCUAAAUGGGACCUGUAAGACAUUAUGUAAAAUUUGCUAAACCUGUAAGAGCAUCUCCAACCAUCUAAAACCCUUGGCUAAAAAAUGAGUUGGCAUACUUAAAAUAAAAAAAUUUAGCCAACAGCUCCAAAACUCAACUCCAACCAUGCUCACCUGUUGUCUAUAAAUUUAGCCAACCUCCUAUGGAUGGCUAAAUUUGUCGAACCUCUACAGGUCUGUAAGAAAAUCUGUAAGAAGAUUAUACAUCAUUUAUUACCAUAUUGAACUGAUAUAUUAUAUUUUAACAAUUUAAAAUAUUAAUAACAUACUAUUUUUAAAUUAUAGCCAACCAAUAUAGCCAAUACCAUUGUAGCAAAAUGUAUUACAGGUUUAAUAAAUUUUANNNNNNNNNNNNNNNNNNNNNNNNNNNNNNNNNNNNNNNNNNNNNNNNNNNNNNNNNNNNNNNNNNNNNNNNNNNNNNNNNNNNNNNNNNNNNNNNNNNNNNNNNUAAUCGGAUUUGGGCUUCUACCAAACCUAAUCCGAUUUUGGUUUUAAUAUUAAAUUCGAAAUUCUAAUUACUUAAUUAAGACUGGCUCAAUUAAAUAAUUUACUUCGAACUUAAUCAUUUAAUUUAAAUUCAGAAUUUAAAUUAAAACUCCUUUAAACGUUCAAAGUGUGUGACCCUUUAGGUUAUUAUUACGUUGGCAAUAAUUUUAAUAUCCAAUAAUAAAAUUAUAAACAAUGAGCGGCAUCUAGUAAUACAUCAUUGCUACCCAAGUAAUAAUAAUAAUUGGUGAUUCAAUUAAACCUUUUGUGAAUAAUGUACAAUGUAAUAUAAUCCCUUUAACCUUAUAUUAUAGAUCAGACUCAAGGCAUGUAUUGUGUCAUCCUCUUCAUCGUCUAAUCCGAAUUUCCUUGAUCAAUGAGUAGACUAUUAAACAAAUCAAUAUUUGAGCACGGCCAUGCAUUUUAUAGUCUCACUCAAUCAAGAGGCCAAUAAUAUCACUCCUAAAAUAGGAGGGUUAAAUCCUUUAUAGAUCAUUCAUAUUUCUCAUAUGAUUCAUAAUAUACCCAAUGUACAUUUCAUCAUUACCCGGUCAAAGGUAACUUUUAGUGCAACCAAAGUAUAUUAAUUCUCAUAUAGAAAUAUAAUGAUAUCAAGUCAGAGGAUCAUUACAUCAUUAUCACAGUGAGAAUUUCCAAUGACACUUAUUAACAUGUAAAAUCUCACGGUGGGUCAUUCCAGUGCCAUGUGUCGAUACAUGCACUUAUGUUCUUGACUUUAGCAUCACUAUACCUAUGAUCAAUGAGAUGUGAUCAUCAGUCAACAAACAUACUAGUCUUAAUGCAUCAUUAUUGUCCCUUAACAAUAAUACUCGACUAGGGACAUUUAGGAAUAUUGAUAUUAUUCUCAUAAUCUCAUUUCUAAGUCACGUACUUAGAGAUAUAGAAUUACAUAUAAUAUUCCAAGGACAUUUAUUAUGCUUUCAAUUUAUUACGCAGUAAAUAAAGACAUAAUAAAUAUUUAUUCAAUAAUCAAUAUAACAUAAUCCAUAAAUGUCUACGAUAGAACACAAUAGUAUUGUCUCUAGGACACCAAUACUAACAAUUGGUACAGUUAACACAUUAAUAUACAUACGUGCAUAAAUGAAUGUAUAUACAAAUUUCACUAGAAGAUCAUAUCCAUAGUGGCAUCACUCGUUAGCCUGAUAGAUAUCAAUACAAGGACUCGCACAUAUUUGAAAAAACAACUUGUAUCUAAGUUGUACUUCUGAGCAGCUUUGGUAGGGCUGAUUUGCCAAGCUACCUUUCGAAACUUCUUGAUUCCGAAGUUAUAUUUCCCUCGGGCAUUCCAUGACAGCAACAUUCCAAAGACUCGAAGACAGAAAAAAUGCAGACCUUGCAACUGGGAAUCACGGCCUUUAUUAUCUCCGCUGCUGUUAUCGGCCUCUUGAAUUCUUUUUACAGUAUGUCUUACAGUAUUUUUGGGCAACUAAUCAUCGGCAAGAACAAUUUGUGCUCGACAAACACUGAUUUACUGAGAUAUGAUGGUAUCUCUGACACCUGAGAGUUCAAUAUUUGGGAAGUCGGGUAUCAGUUCGAUAAUGAAUACCUUACUAUAGAAUGCGGAACAAACAGUCUUAAUGAUCUGUAAAGACUUAUACCACACUAAAUUGACAGAGCAAAACAUGAACAUUUACAUUACAGUAUGCAGAGUAACAAGGACAGCAUAAAUAUCCAGCAUGCUAAAGUAAAAUAAUCAAAUUUGUGAAAGAAACAAUACGAACUAUGAAGCAAUAAUCCAAUUAUUAGGCAAAGAAACCCAUACAUAAUCUCAUAGUGGAAGACUAUCAACUUAACUAGUCAGUUACAUUUUAUGUGUUCUGGUUCUUCAUGUUCACGUUCGUCUCUUAGUUUUCACUAGUGCUCUUGAUGAUUGUGUGCGAUUCUUGGAUGGUGGCGAUGGAAGUGGUGUAGUGGUGACUUAAUUAGUGCGCGUUGUAAUAUUAGAUUAUUCUGAUUGACUAUUUUUAUUGCGUGAUAUUAGUUUUAGCUUUGUAAUUUUGGAUAUGGUUAGGUUUUAAUGGUAGUAAUUGUAGAAUUUAAUUUUGGUUAUUUUUGAAUGACUAGUUGACUCUUUUAAAUUUGUUCAUUUUUGGAUUUUGACCUUUCUUUAAUUUGAAUUGUUGUGUUUUAUUAAAAGAUUAAUUGAUAGAAUCUUUAUUGCCGAUUAUUGUACUUGAAUUCCAUUAUUAUCAUAAAAGAUGGCUUUAUUGUGCCUUAAUGAGGUAUUACUGCACCAUUAAUAGUUUAUUGGUGUAUACCAAAUUUAUGUUGUGAUUAGCUAAAAUCGUGAUAAAUUUGUUUAUCAAGAUUUUGUUUUGUAUUUGAUUAGAUAUAUCUUAACUAUGCUUUCAGAUUUUAAUUAUAUUUUCUUAUCUAUAUUUUAAAUAUUUAUUGACAUAAUUAUCAGUUAUUUUUUGAUAGGAUUUAUAUUUUAUUAUGUAUAUAACCAAAGAGAUCUAAUUAUCUCUUUGGUGUAGAUUUUUUAAUGAUUUGUUUUACAUAAACUUUUGUUUUUACUUUCCUUAUUCUUUAAAAGUUAUAUUAUAUUCAUAUUUUUAUUUAUGAGUUUGCUAACGCUUUUUCUCUACCUUUUAGAUAGUUUUAUUAUUUUUGUUGUAUGUAUGAACUUAUUAUGUUUUCAUUUGUAUUUUAUUUUUUCAGGGUACGCGAGCGGAAGAUAGAAUGGCGGGACCUCUUAUGGGGUUUUCUUAUCGAAAAUUAAAGUUUUAUUGUCUAAGUGUCUUCGGUCAUCUCUGCAUGUCCGAGGGUUAGAUAUUAAACUUUCUUGAACGAAAAGAACUCCUUGCGGCGGAUUUUGUAUUCUGAUACAAUUCGUUAUACGAGAAAGUAUUUUGUGACAAAAAAAAUAUGUACAUUUGUAUCUCUAGUGUGUUGCCACACGAUACAGCAUUUAUUACUGCUGCCUGUACAAAAUCCAUGCAGUCUUGUAUUAAGAUGAUUACGUGUAUACCAUCAUGGCUACACAAAUAGAAGUCAAACUCAGUGGGAUGGCAGAUGGUCAUAUCUACAACAGUACCUGAUUAUACAUACAAAAGCCAGUUAUUUGCUAAUCAGACUAAUAAAGAUUUUUAAAGAUGCAAUAGAACAAUAUGUAACCAGGUGAUAUGUUGCCACUCCGAUCAGUUGAUUUCCUGUCAUUGUAAAUAAUUUGAUUGCAGCGCCUGGCAGACCUUAAAAACAGAUAUAUCUUCCCAUUCAUCAAACUUCAACCAUAGGGGUAACAAGUGAAGUUACGAUCACAAUCACGAUACACAACAAAAGAGAAAUCAAGACGGGGCGUUGUAAUUGGAUCAGCGCUUUGUCUUGCUCGCGCAGAUUGUCGUACUCGUGCUUUGGCAUAAAGGCUUGCCGGAGAGCGUUGUUGAAUAACGCCAUGGAUAUGUGUUGUUUGAUUUGGGGAUUAGGGUUCGGAGAUGACAAGUUAAUUGACUGUCAUGUACUCCCUCCGUCCCAAUGAAUUGUAUACAGUUUCCUUUUUGGACGUCCCACCAAUUGUAUACAUUCCAAAAGUAGUAAACUUUUAUAAUAUAAAACAUCAUUACACCAACUACUUUCUUCCACCGUCUUCAUUCUAUAAUAAUAUAAACACUAUUACACCCACUACUUUUCUUCACUAUCUCAAAUCUAUAAUUAAAUAUAAAUGGGUCUCAUCACUAUACUCACUUUUCACAUAACUUUACUCAUUUUUUACCUUUUUUCCAGAUCUCCGUGUCCCUGGGACGGAGGGAGUACUUAGAACAAGUCAUGUGGUUGAUGUACCCAGUGCAGGCAUAAAAUAAUCUGAAACCGAUUUAGUCCGGUCAUAAAUAAAUCUAAAACCGACUUAAUCACGCGCAUAAAUUAAUCGGGAAUAAUAUAAAGGUCCAAAACGAAUAAUAUUAAUAUUGUUUAUUAUUCUCCAAAUUUUAGUUAAUUUAUUAUUUUUGAGAGAUAAUUCUGUAUGUAUUUUUAAUUUUUAUAAAAUAUAAUUUCAUAAAUAAUUUGAUGGAAAAAUUUCUAGAUAUAAUUAAAAUUUUAAUUUCAACUAAAAUAGGAAAAUGACAAAAUGAGUCAUGAAAUUAUAUUUUAUAAAAAUUUAAAAUAUAAAUAAGGAAAUUCUUACAAAAUUAUAAACAUAUAUAUAUAUAUAUANNNNNNNNNNNNNNNNNNNNNNNNNNNNNNNNNNNNNNNNNNNNNNNNNNNNNNNNNNNNNNNNNNNNNNNNNNNNNNNNNNNNNNNNNNNNNNNNNNNNNNNNNNNNNNNNNNNNNNNNNNNNNNNNNNNNNNNNNNNNNNNNNNNNNNNNNNNNNNNNNNNNNNNNNNNNNNNNNNNNNNNNNNNNNNNNNNNNNNNNNNNNNNNNNNNNNNNNNNNNNNNNNNNNNNNNNNNNNNNNNNNNNNNNNNNNNNNNNNNNNNNNNNNNNNNNNNNNNNNNNNNNNNNNNNNNNNNNNNNNNNNNNNNNNAUUGUUUUUGUUUAAACUCUAAUCAAUUUGAUUUUGUUUGUUUAAACUCUAAUCAAUUUGUUUCGUGACAAAUUCAUAUGUCGCAUUCUAGCUUUCUCAUCGGUAUUACAUUCAAUCAUACAGAUUAUUACAAACAUCGUUAAGAUAUUCUAUAUUAUGAAUUAUAUAUUUUGAACAAGCAUCGUUAAGAUUUUCAUCUAUAUUUUUUAUUUUCUUAAAAUUAAUAUAUUUAACUAAUCAUCACUUGCUUGUACAUUCAUCUAACAAUAAAAUGUUUUAUGUUCUUCCAUCACUAAGAUCACAAAAACAUCCAACUUCGGCACCUAAACAAAUGUAAUAUAACCCGGAAGAAAAUUGGUAAAUUAUGAACCACUGUUCCAAAAUGCAGAAUCCUGUUUUAACACACACAAGCUUAUUAUAUACAUUAUACAGGUCAAUAAAUAAACAGACAAAUACUAGAAAUACUUCAAGUAACUUAACGGUUACUUGAACAUCAUCUAUUUUAAGUCUUUUGAGCCCUGAUCUUACAUAGGAAUAGCGGGCCUUAGAAAAUUGUUUUUCAUCAUUUUAGCGGGCCUUAGAAAAUUGUUUUUCAUCAUUUUGGAGCAUCAUCUUCAUUGUUUACUGCAAAUCAUCUUCUUUGUUUACUGCAAAGAAGAAUGUGAAAAUCAAUGACUUUCAUACUAGAAAAUUUAAUAAAUUUCAAGCACAUUAUAACUUAACUAUAAGCAUACCUUCACCAUUUAUGAGCCAUCCGUCUCCCGGAUAUUAUUAAACAAAACAAUCUUUACGUGAAUAAGAUUGUAUUGAGUUUGCUUUAUGGCAGGGUCCAAUCUUUACGUGAAUAAGAUUGUAUUGAGUUUGCUUUAUGGCAGGGGCGGCUAGGAGCUUAGCACAAAAUUCUAGCCACCUACAUAGAGCUCGCUGAGGGAAGAUGGAUUGUGCUUUGGAACAAGGUCGGAAAUGCCUAGAGGUGGUGCCAGCCUCUAGGUUCUUUUACCUCAUCAGCUGCAUAAACACAAACACUGGACACAGGGCACAGUGGACAUAUAAUAUAUCUUAGACAAAUAAGGACGGAAAUUUCAUAAUUUUGCAUAUAUUGUAGGAAGUGUACAUAUAAAAAUCAAUUUUGUUGUUAUACAAAAAUCAAGCGAUGGGUGAGGAAUACCAUCUCGAGAAAUGUUGGCAUUUCUCUUUGUCCACUUGGUGCCAAUUUUGGUAUAAUUAAUUUUAUUCCUUGCCGACCUGACAUAAUAAAUUUCAACAUUUCAUGAAUUACAUAUUCUACGCAUUAAUUAAAAAAAUUAACAAUUAUGAGACUACUUCAAACUAAUUUAUAUCCUUUCAGAUAUCACUAUAAAUAAAGUUCAUACAGAAACCUAUAAACGUAAAUGCACAGGCUACAUACAUAAUUUAUCACAAAUUGCAAGAUAGUGCCGCUUAGAUGCAUCCUCUAACAGUGUUUUGAAUUAAAUAAAUGUGAUUCAACAAGAUAUAACACAAUAGUAUAAACAAAAUCUGAAUUCUUAAUGCCCAUCCAUUGUUAAAUUUCGAGACUGUGUGGUUUCCCUUUAUCCUCUCUGUCCAACAAGCAAUGAUCUCUUAUAACAAUAGAAAGCUAAAGUAUUUCCAUAGACAUACAGAAAUCAGAAAGUAGUUUACUUUUCUAAUUAACUUCUACACUAUACUACAAGAAAAAGGGUGCUCAAAACAAACACAAAAUAUUCCGAUACAGUUUACCAACACAAUCACGAUAUGUUCAAAACAGACCACAAUUACCACAGGUCGUUCAAAACUAAUCACAAAUUACCCUUAUCCAGUGACAAAAUAUUCCGAUACAGCCAACCAACACAAUCAAGGGCACGGUCAAUCAUAAAAUAUUCCGAUACAGCUAACCAACACAAUCAAGGGCACGAUCUACCAGUUAUCGCAUAUAUGUUCAAAAGAGACUACAAUUAAAUGAGAUUUAGCUAGUCAAUUAAACAAGCCUUUCAUUGCAGAUCAGAAUUUUACCCACUGAGGCAGCAAUAGAACAAAGUUUUGUUUUUCUGGAGCAUCUUCUUCAUUGUUUACUGCAACAAAAAAAGCGAUAAUUAGCGAGUUUCUAAUCAGAUAAAUUAGCUAUAAAACAAUCGGAAUUGAGAAAUCUAAGGCUUAAAAACACGAUACAUAUACCUGUUUUUGGGCGUCGAAAAGAAUAACAUAACGAUUUUGAAACAUCGAUCCAGCGAUUCAGCACUGAAUUAAGAAUACACUCGGCGUGCCCUAGUCUAAUUGGGAAGCCGCCGCCUUAACCUGCACGAGGAGUUUACAGGUGAUUUUAUUCCUAAAACAUAUGGGCUAGGGUUUCUUAUGAAUAAUCUGAAUGGGCUUUUUUUAAGUGAUGGGCUAGAGUUUAAUCUGAAUAAUCGGAAUGGGCUUUUUUUAAGUGAUGGACUGUUAUUGUGAUUGUUCAUAAACACGUUUGACAGUUUUUAUUUUGAAUCAGAUUAGAUGAUGGUGAAAAGCUCGGUGGCGAUAUAUACUGAUUUUCUUCACUAAAUCAUGGAUCAAGUUCUCCGUAGUUUAAAAUUUUUAAAAAUGUUGAAAGUUUUGAUAUUUAAGCAAAUUUAUUUUAAAAUAUAUGAUAAUAAAUCCAUUUAUAAAAAAAAUAAUAAAUUUAAAUUUAAUAUUAAAAUAUGUAUCAUAUUAUAAAAAAAUAUUAAACAAAAAUAAAUAAAAUCCAUCAAUUAUAGGUAUAAGGUUUGAAAAAGAUAUAAUUUAUUUUUAAAUAUUAAAUAUAUGUCUGCUAAAUUUUAUUUUGUAUAAUAAUAUUAAUUAUUUAGCAUGCAAUUUAUAUCAAAAUAUAAUAAUCGAAAAUAUGGAUAUUUUGUAGUUUGAAUCACUUUUCACUAAAUUUCAUAUCAAAGUUUUUGAUAUACAUUUUUUCAAAAAAAAUAUGAUCAUAGUCUCGGAAAAAAAAGUAAGUCUUUUCCUAUAUCAAAAUAUUUUAAAUGAAUUUUUAAAUUCUAAUUUGAUAUUUAUUAAUGUAGGCAGUUUUUAUUUUUGAUAUAUUGAAAAAAUUAGUUUUGAAAUUUUCCUCCAAUAUAUCCGAAACUCAAAAAAGGUAAUUUUUAUUUUUGAUAUUUUCAAAAUUAAAAAUAUAAUUCGAAACUUUCUUCCAAUAAUUUUGAUACAGAAAAAGGUAGGUAGAUUUUAUUUUUGAUAUACUGAAAAUGAUAGUUCUAAAAUUUGCUUCUAAUAUACCCGAAACUAAAAAAGUAGUUUUUAUUUUUGAUAUUUUUCAUCCAAAAAUUUCAGAAAAUUGGAGGAAAAAAAGUAAGUUUUUUUUUCGAUAUCAAAAUAAUCGAAAAGAAAUUUCAAAUUCUGAUUUGAUAUUUAUUAAGUUAGUUAGUUUUUAUUUUUGAUAUAUAGAAAAAUGAGGUUUUGAAACUUUCCUUCAAUAUCCGAAAUUGAAAAUGGUGAUUUUUAUAAAAAAAAAGUAAUGUAGAUAGGUAGAUUUUAUUUUUGAUAUUUUGAAAAAGAUAGUUCUAAAUUUACUUCAUCGCGUAAUAUAUUAUUUAUGUUCCAAUAGGCAUAAUCACAAAUUCUGCUCACUCGAAGUCGAGUCCAACCCGUGACCAAGGAUACAAGUCUUCGCUUUUAACCUAGUUGAACCAACCCUUUCCGGCAAAAUAUGUAUUUGAUAUGGGGCUAAAAAUGCAAAAACCGAAACGAAAAUGAGAUAUAUUUGAGGCAUAUGGUCGAAAAGCUUGAACAUGUUUGUAAGUUUUCUAAAUUAGGGUGAGACUCUUUUAUAUAUUUCUAAAUUAUAAAAAAUCGUGUUUUUCAACCCCCCCUUUUUGGGACACAGUUUAAACUUUAAACCUCAUUAUCUUUGUAUCACCAUCAAAAUGAGAUCAUUCAUCUUUUUAUAACCGUCAUAAUUAACUUUGGAAGAUAUAAAGUUCUCAUAUUGACUUGCAUAGGAAACUGGAAGCUCAUACUAAUAUCAAUAAAUCUUCGCGUACAUCCUUAUGCACUACUAAUUCACUACCUAUAAUUUAGGAAUAGUUCUAACUUAUACCCACGGCUAAGUCUUCAGGAUUUCUUAUCACUUCAGGUUAACUGUAAAUUAAAAAUACACUUACAAAAAUUAUAACCUAAAUCUUUUUUUUUUCUAUUUUAUUUAUUUAAUUUAUUAUCACAUAUUUCACUUUUAUUAUAUAACCUUUAUAUAAUUUAAUGAGCCUAAUAUAUCUAUAAAAUAACUAAUAUAUAUUCUUUAUUAUAAAAUUUUAAAGUAAUAUAUUCUUCAUACUAAUAUAUUCUUUUACAUUUGUAAAAUUUGACAUUCUUUAUUAUAAAAUUUUAAAAGUAAUAUUAAUUACAUAUACGUCAAGUGAGUAGCAUGUAAACAAUGAAUUUUUUUUACAAAGUGCUGAAUCGAUCCUCUGUCAUCACACAAACGUAUUAUAUACAUUAUAUAGGUAAAUAAAUAAACAGACAAAUAUAAAAACUACUUGAGUAACUUAGAUUUUAAGUCUUUUGAGCAUUGAUGUUACAUAGAAAUAAGAAUAAGACAAUAUGGUAAGGAAUACAUUGGUAGGUUAAACUACUUGGAAAAAAUCAUCUACGUUGCCAGCUUUUAACUUAGUUCUUGCAAUUUCAAAAGUUCCCGAUAUGUCGCGUUGUUUUAUCUUCAACGAAAUAACCAAGUAGACAAGCAGUAGCUUCUUAAUAGCAGAUAAGUAGCAGAUUAGCCAGCCUUAGAUAACUGUUUUCCAUCUUUUUGGAGCAUCAUCUUCAUUGUUUACUGCAAGAAAAAAUUUGAAAACCAGUGAAUUGAAUACUAGAAAACUUAAUAGAUUUUCAAGUACAUUAUAACUAUAUAACAAGCAUACCUUCACCAUCUCUGAGCCAUACGUAUCCCGGAUAUUAAACAAGAGAUAAUCUUCACGUGAAAAAAGAUUGUACUGAGUUUGUUUUACAAUACCUCAAAGUGUGUACGAAAACCUACCUUUAAAAAGAAGCAAAGAUAUAUCAAAACUAAUAACUUUCAACCAAACUAUACAAUAUACAAUAUAGUACGACAGAGAGUUUAAUACUUCCUCUGUCCCGGUUACAUUUUAACCGAUGUUUGACUUUUUAACACGUAUAUUGAGAUGCAAAAAAAUAAUAUCUACACUGAAUAAAAAAAAAUUCAAUUCUUAUACCAAAUAAUAGUUUAGAUUCUAAACGUUUAAUUUAUAUGUAUUUUAUAAAGAAUUAUUAUGUUUAGAUGUGAUUUUCUUAACACCUUAAAAUACAUGUAAAAAAGUCUAAAGCAGUUAAAAUGAGACGGAGAGAGCAUAUAGAACAAGAUAUUUGUGUGCACAUAAAGUCUCUUACCUCAACAAUAUUUCCUCUAGGAAGGCCGACACCCAAUGCAAUGUCCAAUGUCAGACAUGCCAACAAGUUAGAAUCUCCAGCAUGCACCAUUCCAAAUAACUAAAAUAAGAGCAAAAUUAUAGACUUCAAACAACUAAUUAACGACCAAAAAAUUAUGGCUAGGAACAGGAUACAGUAAACAGAAUACACAAAAUAACAAGUAUAUAUCACAUUUCCACAAUGACAAUUAACAUAAGCUGAUAACAUUACCGUAAAAAAACACAUAAAACCCUUCCCACCACUAAUACACUUCUUCUAUCCCUGUCAAACAACACCUCAAAUGUUCUUCGCAUAUAAUUCCUACGUUUUUUGCUAUAAAUUACCCUACAGCACAACGAAGAUGCCCAGCCUGUGAUCGCAUAAUUGGGACCGUGUAUUGGGACGAGGAUGAAAAGAACAUCAUCGGUGUGUAUCGGUUUCUUUCAGACAAAAGUGGAAGCGUUAAACUCCUUUAAUAGGUCUUAGCAGAAAUGUAAUUAAAAAAUAACUGGGGUAUGCUUGUCAUUUCACAAGUACUAUUUAGGUAUAUUUUUCCCGUGGUUGGCUUAUUAUAUAUAGUAGUAGAUUGUUCUCGCCAAUUGAGUGGUGCGGAUAAAAAUGUUUGAUACUUCUACAGACAUACCAAAAUUUAAUAUUUUUAUAUUAAUUCCCUAAUUUUUCUAAAUUAAUAUAUUUAUCAAUUCGCAGUUUCAGACCGAUACCGGAAGGAUAUGAUAAUAAAAUUUUCAUUUUAUAAAUUUCUUGUACAUUAAUCAAUAAUAUGUUCUCUGUUCUUCCACCAAUAACUUCACGAAAACCUUAACUUUGGCACCUAAGCAAAUCCUACAAAAUCGGUAGAAAAUUGGUAAACUAAGAAAAAUCAUUCCAAAGUACAGACUCGAUCUUGGGUUAACAAACACGUAUUAUAUACAUCGUUUAGCUCAAUAAAUAAAUAGACAAAUAUAAAAACUACUUCAAGUAACUUGCACGUGCUGAACAUCAUCGAUUUUAAGUCUUUUGAGCCCUGAUUUUACAUGGGAAUAAGUAUAAGACAAUAUUGUAAAGAAUACAUAUGCAGAACUGCAUGGAAGAAGGUUAUCACUUUUAACUCGGUUCUUGCGAUUUCAAAAGUUCCACGAUGUGCUGCUUCGUUCCUUUUAUCUUUCUCUUUGUAGAAGCCAGUUUAAUUUUCAUAUUACCUUCUUGGUUAUCUUUUGUACAAGUGGUAUUGCAAGUGUUUUCACAUUAAAAGCUAAGAGAAAACACCUUUAAAGUUAAAUUCUCAAAUUUUUAAUAUUUAAUCAAUGGUGGACAACAAAAACCAAUAUGAUGAUUAAUUCCUAUCAACAAUCUUAUCAUGUCUUUUUAGAAAUAAAAUGAUAUACAGGUAUGGGAAAAAAGACCCAAGAACUACAGGUUAAACUAAUAUAUUUGGGUCAAUUCAUAAUUAUAGAUAAGGGAAAUCAUUUAUAUGUUAAUGAAUUAAGUAAGAAGUAGAUCUACCUUCAGCCAUUGUGUGCGCUGCUGAUGUUCUCUCGCACACAGUUGGCCGAGUCACAAGGAAUCCCUCGCAGUGGUCACAAAUUAUCUCCCAUUUAAUUGGUGCAAUUUCAUUAAAUGGGUUGCCAGCCUUUGGGUUCAUUUGCCUCAUAUCAGCUGCAUGACCACUGGACACAAAGAGUACAUUGGACAUAUAAAGCUUGUUAGAGAGAUAGAGAUUGAAUAUCACGAUUUUGCAUAUACCGUAUGAAGUUUGUACAUGUAACAAAUAAUUUUUGUUGUCUUACAAAUAUCAAGCAAAGUGGGAAUUCCGCAACGAAAAUGUUGGCAUUUCUCGUUGUCCACUUUGAGGCGGGUUUGGUAGAACUACUGUUUUCCCUUGCCAACCUGACAUAAUGAAUUUCAAUAUUUCACGAAUUACAUAUUCUAUGCAUUAAUUAAAAAAUUGACAGAUAUGAGAGUUCUUAAAUAUUAAUAUAUGUGCUCUUAGAUAUCACAACAAAUAAAGUUCAUAUGGAAACUUAUAAAAGUAAAUGAACAACAUACAUAUAUAAUUGAUCCCAAUUGCACGAUAGCGCUGAUUCAAAUGGAUCUUCCCUCGAUGUUAUAAUUUAAAUAGGAGGCCGUUUGGAGACAUGCAUUUCAUUUCAAAUGACAAGAUUUAAGUUGUCAUUUCAAACACUCAAAUUUAUACAAAUUUUUGAAUGUCUGGAUUUCAAAUGUAAACCAAAUCCACAUUCCCAAACAAAUUAUUUGAUCAAAUUCAAAAUUUCAAAUGAAAUCCAAUUUCCCAAACAGGCCAUAAAUGUAAUCCAACAAGAUACAAUAGAAUCUUAUCAACAAUAUCUGGAUUCUUAAUGACCAUUAAUCGUUCAAUUUCGAGAUUAUGGCUUCCCUUUAUCAUCUCUCCAAUAAGAGUAAGUAUUUUCAUAGAUAGAGAAUAAAAAUUAGUUUAGUUUUUCAAUUACCUUCCAUAUUAUAGUACAAGAACAAGGGCGCUCGAAAUUAACACAAAUUACCCACUUAUGUUAUGACAAAAUAUUCCGAUACAGCUAACCAACACAACCAAGGGCACAAUAUAUCAUAGGGUUAGUUACCAGCAUUCAAAACCCAUCAAUAAAUCUGACCACGUAUAUGUUCAAAACAGACCACAAAAAAUUCCGAUCAAGGACACGAUCUAUCAUCAGCAUAAAGCCGACCACUACCAAUUGUCACAUAUAUGUUCAAAACAGACCACAAUUAAAUGGCAUUUAGCUAGUCCAUUAAACAAGCCUUUCAUUACAAGUAUCAGAAUGUUACCCAAUCAGGCAGAUCAUUGUUUUGUUUUUCUGGAGCAUCUUCUUCAUUGUUUACUGCAAGAAGAAAUCUGAUAAUUAGUGUAUUUCAAAUUAGAUAAAUUAACUAUUAAACAAUCAGAAUUGAGAAAUCUAGGGUUUAAAACACAAAAUAUAUACCUGUUUUUAGACUUCGAAACAGAUAGCAUCACGAAACGAUUCAGCACUUUACACUCUAGAUACAUACACACACGAUUAUCAUAGAUCGUUGCGGCGAUGCCCUAAUCUAGGCGAUGCCCUAAUGUAAUUGAGAAGCUGCCGCCUUAACCUACACGACGAGUGAUUUUAUACCUAAAAAUAAAUUGGGUUAACUAAAAGGCCUGGGCUUUCUUAUGAGUAUUGGACUUUUCCGUGAGUUAUUUUAUAAAAGGUCCAGGUACAUGUCAUACAUAAGUCAUCGGCUUUCUUAUGAGUAAUGGACUUUUUCGUGAGUUAUUUUAUAAAGGGUCUAGGUACAUGCUAUACAUAAUUCAGGACCACAGCUUCUUGGCCGUUGGAUCUAGCGAUGAGGAUUAUCACAAAAAUUUGAUAUGUCCGGCGCAAGAAAAAAGACCCUCAACACUUUUUAACUGUUGGACAGGAAAAAUGACCAUGUCCAUGAUUAAAAAACGCCGGACAUAACUUGUUCCGUGCUUAAAAAAUGCUAUCAUGACUCUUGAAUAUUCAUCGAACGGUCAUAAACCAGUGUGUUGGUUAAGGCUUCCUCGCAUACAUAUGUCAGGGACCAACUCCCUUUAUACAAUGUGUCGGUAGAUAGAGUAGAAAGGCUAGGAUAAAAUAAUGAGAAUUGAGAACAAAUAUGUCAUUGUUAGCUUAGCGUUAAGUGUCCAAAAUUUGUUCCUAUAUUUUUUCUCAAAUUUAUUGGAUAAUGUGUGAUUGAUUACUUAUAUAAUAAUAAAUAGGUAUAUAAAUCACCCAGUUAAAAUCCGUCAUGUGGUUUGGGAAAAUUAAAAUUGAGGACGAAUUUUGAGGUACAUAGUAUUUUUCCAAACAAAAUAUCAUUAUUAAAUCAAUAACAAGGAAUUUUUAUCCUCUUAUAUCAAGGUUUAUAGCAUAUUUUUAUAAAUUUUCACAUAAUAAUUAUUUAUAUUUUUUAUAUGAAAUAAAAAGAGUCGCGAAUAUUUUUUGUCGAAAAAUAGUACUCACCGCAGUUAAACACUUCAUCACAAACAGAAAUAUCACAUGAGUACCCGCAAGGGUUAGUUAAGCUAGUUAAAGAAGGGACAUGUAUUCUCUUGGUCAGACACUCAUAGUUUCGAGUCCCGAAGGGAGCGGGAUUCCUACGUUAAAAAAUAUAUAAAAAAAAUAUCACAUGAGUCAAUAUCCAAAAAUUAUAGUUAAAUUAUACGCAUUUUAACUAGUCUUAAUAAUUUACAAAAAUUAUUUACAAAUUUAUUAUAUAUCAUAAGAUUGAUCCAAGCCAAUGAAGAUAGUUAAGAUGAUUUUGGUAGUAGGUUGAAUAAUAUCAAACCAUGUUAAAAAAAUAACAUAGAAAAAAUUUACGUAUUCAAUUAUAAAUUUUAAAUAGAAAAUACCCGAAUAUCAUGUACUUCGAACCAUAAUCUAAUUCAGGUAAAUAUUUAUUUGGAUAUAAUUGAUUAUGGAUUAUCAAAAAUCUAGUAUUUCGAUUUUAUUUGGGUUAACUUUCCGAUUCACAUAUUUUUUUUAUCAAAUCAAAUCGAUUUUCGAAUUCUAAUCAAAUUUGAUUAUAUUAGAGCAUCUUCAACGACGUUGGUUAUAAUCGCUGGCUAAAUGGGACCUGUAAGAUAUUAUGUAAAAUUUGCUAAACCUGUAGGACAUUUUCAUUCAGUGGUAUUGGCUAUAUUGGUUGAUUAUAAUUUAAAAAUAGUAUGUUAUUAAUAUUUUAGAUUGUUAAAAUAGAAUAUAUCAGUUCAAUAUGGUAAUAAAUGAUGUGCAAUCUUCCUACAGAUUUUCUUACAGACCUGUAGAGGUUCGACAAAUUUAGCUAUCCAUAAGAGGUUGGCUAAAUUUAUAGACAACAGAGCAUGGUAGGAGUUGAGUUUUUCGAGCCGUUAGACUAAAUUUUUUUAUUUUAAGUAUGCCAACUCAUCUUUUAGCCAAAGGUUUUUAAUGGUUGGAGAUGCUCUUAUAUUUGAUGUUAGUUUUCAUGUGAUUCUAAUCAUAUUUGGUUUAGAUGGGAUUCACUGUAUUAGUUUAUAUGCGAUUCUAAUAAGAUACUAAUUAUUAUAUAUUAAUAUAAAAAUUUUAUUAUCCCAUUUUUGAUCACUCAAUGAAAUAACAGUACUAUACCACAAAAUUUAUGGAUAUAUGUAAACAAGCAAAUUAGCUAAAAUAUCUUUGUUUCUUUUCUGUUUUGAAAAGUUUGAUAUUGCCAAAUACAAAAUUUUACAACAUUAUUUGGUGAGAUUUACUUAGAUUAACAGUUUUGUUGAUUAAAUCACAACACCAAAAUCAUAAUAAAUUAAGGUCAUUUUUGACAAUUUAAAAAACCUUUCAUUUUCUUAAUAUCGGUUAAAACCAACAUUGCCGUGAAUAAAAAUAUUAAAUGAUAAAUAUUUGGUACAGUUAACACAUUAAUAUACAUACGUGCAUAAAUGAAUGUAUAUACAAAUUUCACUAGAAGAUCAUAUCCAUAGUGGCAUCACUCGUUAGCCUGAUAGAUAUCAAUACAAGGACUCACACAUAUUUGAAAAAACAACUUGUAUCUAAGUUGUACUUCUGAGCAGCUUUGGUUGGGCUGAUUUGCCAAGCUACCUUUCGAAACUUCUUGAUUCCGAAGUUAUAUUUCCCUCGGGCAUUCCAUGACAGCAACAUUCCAAAGACUCGNUUGAUUCCGAAGUUAUAUUUUCCUUGGGCAUUCCAUAACAGCAACAUUCCAAAGACUCGAAGACAGAAAAAAUUGCAGACCUUGCAACUGGGAAUCACGGCCUUUAUUAUCUCCGCUGCUGUUAUCGGCCUCUUGAAUUCUUUUUAC